Long non-coding RNA from Uranotaenia lowii, 864 nucleotides. RefSeq lists it as uncharacterized. The transcript has 3 exons. The record is from RefSeq and is a predicted model, not a curated record. Lineage: Eukaryota; Metazoa; Arthropoda; Insecta; Diptera; Culicidae.
CAUCACUAUAACUAAUCGGUUGUUGCUCAAAAUUUGUAUUUCCCCAAUUCAAUUUUGAGUAGUUUUGGGUUGCCAAUAUACAAAAGCGAACUAAAUGUCGAUUAUUCAUGCUCUGUAUAAAAAGUUUGCUGUUGUUGGAAUGCUUUAGGCGGGGAUGUCAAAGCAAAACAUUUUUUAAGACACUCAUAGUGUGUCACGAUGAUUUCAAUUUUUCAUCUUUUUUACGUCGAAAUCAUCAUAAAUAGCUUACAAAAGGAAUAUUGUCCACACAGUUGUUUCCCAUAAUCGACCUUUACCGCACCCGGAAGAGGCCAUCGAGUGUGUUCAAAGCUUGGAAAAUGGACAGUUGCGCGAUGGCUGGGGAAAGUUGAUAGAGUGCAUCGGGAGGUCCGAGGUUUUUUUUAAUUAUUGCGGACCACAGCCGUACGGUCAUUUUUUCUUUCGAAAAUUUACCUCAAAAUGAGCGCAGAAAGUCUCCGAAUAGGAAGAAGGGAACCAAACGAGAUGUGCUUAUCAUCUAAUCGGAGCAGCCACUACUAAAGCACUUGGGAAUGGAUCCCGCAGAAAAUCCCUAACAGCGACGGAAACCAUCAUCUGGGAGACAGUUUUCUGGAAGGCCAAAACAAAAAAAUAUCAACUGGCAUGAUGAAACAGGUUAGUUUUAUUUGAUAUAUUUUUACAUGAAUUAAUUCAUUCUAAUCCUGCUCUGUGCAUGAUGUUUCCUAUUUGGUUGAAAAUCUAAAUUUUUGGUUUACAGUUCAGCACCCUAUGGUUUAAGUUUUGAGACUAGUGUUUAAUUUCAUUUCGAGUUUAACUAUCUUAGACUUUUUUUUAACAUCAUUCAGCAAUUUUAAAUUUGAUUAC